CAACUGGAUAAUGCAUGCUCUUGCCUCUUGGAAUUGUCGAUUACUGUUAUACACUCUAGUGGACGUGCAUGACAUUGAAACUGGUUUGUCUACACAAUUUUGAGAUAUUUCAGCAAAGAACAAUCUUCAAAUUUACAAUCCCAUGUGUUUUUACGUUGUAUGUUGCUCGUUAGCGAGACAUAUUUCAGGGAUUUGUUGAGUACAUGUACAGCAUG
This is a non-coding RNA of Paramuricea clavata, 215 nucleotides long. The record is from the annotation of a GenBank genome assembly. Lineage: Eukaryota; Metazoa; Cnidaria; Anthozoa; Malacalcyonacea; Plexauridae.